UAUUGGACAAUGGGGGGAACCCUGAUCCAGCGACGCCGCGUGAGUGAAGAAGUAUCUCGGUAUGUAAAGCUCUAUCAGCAGGGAAGAAGAAAUGACGGUACCUGAGUACGAAGCUCUGGCUAAAUAGGUGCCAGCAGCCGCGGUAAUACGUAUGGAGCAAGCGUUAUCCGGAUUUACUGGGUGUAAAGGGAGCGCAGGCGGUCUGGCAAGUCUGAUGUGAAAUACCGGGGCUCAACUCCGGGACUGCAUUGGAAACUGUCAGACUGGAGUGUCGGAGAGGCAGGCGGAAUUCCUGGUGUAGCGGUGAAAUGCGUAGAUAUCAGGAGGAACACCAGUGGCGAAGGCGGCCUGCUGGACGAUGACUGACGCUGAGGCUCGAAAGCGUGGGGAGCAAACAGG
Molecule: ribosomal RNA, 399 nt
Filed under: uncultured bacterium
Lineage: Bacteria
Description: bacterial SSU rRNA
Rfam family: Bacterial small subunit ribosomal RNA
Source: RNAcentral